GAUGAACGCUGGCGGCGUGCCUAAUACAUGCAAGUCGAGCGAACAGACGAGGAGCUUGCUCCUCUGACGUUAGCGGCGGACGGGUGAGUAACACGUGGAUAACCUACCUAUAAGACUGGGAUAACUUCGUGAAACCGGAGCUAAUACCGGAUAAUAUAUUGAACCGCAUGGUUCAAUAGUGAAAGACGGUUUUGCUGUCACUUAUAGAUGGAUCCGCGCCGCAUUAGCUAGUUGGUAAGGUAACGGCUUACCAAGGCAACGAUGCGUAGCCGACCUGAGAGGGUGAUCGGCCACACAGGAACUGAGACACGUCCAGAAUCCUACGGGAGGCAGCAGUAGGGAAUCUUCAGCAAUGGGCGAAAGCCUGACGGAGCAACGCCGCGCGAGUGCUGAAGGUCUUCGGAUCGUAAAACUCUGUUAUUAGGGAAGAACAAAUGUGUAAGUAACUAUGCACGUCUUGACGGUACCUAAUCAGAAAGCCACGGCUAACUACGUG
RNAcentral lists this ribosomal RNA (496 nucleotides) under uncultured bacterium. RNAcentral's name for it is "partial 16S ribosomal RNA". It matches the Rfam family "Bacterial small subunit ribosomal RNA", at positions 28 to 507 of the family's 1533-position model. The record is from RNAcentral.